UCCCUAGUAGCUUGGAUGGUAAAGAAUCUGCCUGUAAUGCAGGAGACCCAGGUUCAAAACCUGGCGAAGGUA
Molecule: transfer RNA, 72 nt
Filed under: Ovis aries (sheep)
Lineage: Eukaryota; Metazoa; Chordata; Mammalia; Artiodactyla; Bovidae
Rfam family: tRNA
About the family: Transfer RNA (tRNA) molecules are approximately 80 nucleotides in length. Their secondary structure includes four short double-helical elements and three loops (D, anti-codon, and T loops).
Source: Rfam by way of RNAcentral